GAAAUGCGAUAAGUAAUGUGAAUUGCAGAAUUCAGUGAAUCAUCGAAUCUUUGAACGCACAUUGCGCCCGGCAGCAAUCUGCCGGGCAUGCCUGUCCGAGCGUCAUUUCUGCCCUCGAGCGCGGUUAGGCCCCUAGCGGGCCGGCCGCCGCCCGGUGUUGGGGCGCUGCGGGCCCUCGUGCCCGCAGGCCCUGAAAUGAAGUGGCGGUCCCGCCGCGGCGCCCCCUGCGUAGUAGUAAAGCACCUCGCAUCGGGUCCCGGCGGAGGCCAGCCGUCGAACCUCUCUUUUGAUGGUUUGACCUCGGAUCAGGUAGGGUUACCCGCUGAACUUAAGC
Molecule: unclassified non-coding RNA, 334 nt
Filed under: plant metagenome
Description: partial contains 5.8S ribosomal RNA, internal transcribed spacer 2, and large subunit ribosomal RNA
Rfam family: 5.8S ribosomal RNA (bases 1-105)
Source: RNAcentral